GGGGCAGGGCAGCUAUUUUAGUCUCAACUUCCUAUAUUCAGAUCAGGGCAGAAUCCCCAGGUCCCAACCUUCAGCGCCCUGCCUCUGCCCAGCGUCUUCCUGAGGCCAGCUAGCCACUAUGGGAAACUGGUUGGCCAGUGGGUCACCUGCGGAGCCUUCUGGGGGAUCAUCUGAUGGGUCAUCUGGUAGGUUGCCUGACUUUACCUCAGUGCCAGCACACAAGCUGGAAGAGUUUAUCCAGGCAAACCUCACACCCAACGAAGAAUGUCUGAAGCUGAUAGACCAGGACGUGGAUGCCAUCUCUAACUUCCUGCGGAGCCCUGAGAUCCCUGUGGUGAGAGUGGCUAAGGGUGGUUCUUAUGGCCGAGGAACAGUCCUAAGAGGCUACUCUGACGGCACCCUUGUUCUCUUCACCAAUUCCUUCCGUAAGUUUUCGGAUCAGAAGACAAAACAAGAUCUACUCGUCCACUUGAUUGAGCAACGGCUGAAACACCAUGAGAAGUACAAUAAGCCAGAAAAGCUUGGGAACACCCUUGAAGUCCAGCUGUCCGUACAAGGGCAGGGGAUCUGCUUGCAGCUACUUCCAGCCUUUGAUCCUCUGUGCUUCGGUGAGUAUCCCAGCCCCCAGGUCUAUCGGAAUCUCAGAAGUUCUAUGGAUCAAGUACGAGCAGCGCCCGGUGAGUUUGCCGUCUGCUUCACCUCACUACAGGAGCGGUUCUUCAAGGGAUAUCCCAGGAGAGUGAAGGAUUUGAUCCUGUUGGUCAAGCACUGGUAUCAAGAGUGCCAGAAGAAGUGGAUGGCCUCCCCAUCUCUGCGGUUGUUGUAUGCGCUGGAGCUGCUCACUGUGUACGCCUGGGAACAGGGCUGCCAAGCUGAGGACUUUGACAUCGCAGAAGGCAUCAGGACUGUGCUGGGACUCAUUAGGCAGUCUUCAAAGCUGUGUGUCUACUGGACAGUCAAUUACAACUUUGAGAAUGAGACAGUCCGCAACACCCUUCUGUGCCAACUCAGGACCCAAAGACCUGUCAUCUUGGAUCCAGCUGACCCAACCAAUAACGUGGGCAAAGACGACGGGUCCUGGCAGAUGCUGACAGAGGAGGCCCAGGACUGGCUGUGCUCUCUCAGGAGGAAUGAUGUGUCACCUGCACCAUGUUGGAAUGUUCUGCCCACACCACUCUUCAUCACCCCAAGCCACUUACUGGACACGUUCAUCAAAGACUUCCUACAGCCCAACGAAACGUUCUUGAAGCAGAUCAAAAAGGCUGUUGACAUCAUCUGUGCAUUCCUUAAAGAGAACUGCUUCCGACAUUCAAGCACCAAAGUUCUGAAGUCCGUCAAGGGAGGAUCCACCACCAAAGGCACGGCUCUGAAGUAUGGAUCAGAUGCUGACAUCGUCGUGUUCCUUAGCUCGCUGAAGAGCUACGAAUCCCAAAAACAGGAGCGCCCACAGUUCAUCCAAGAGAUCCGGAGGCAAUUAGAAGCCUUCCAGCAGAUCCAGGAGCUGGAGGUGGAGUUUGAGGUUUCCAAGUGGAAGGCCCCCAGGGUGCUGAGCUUCACCCUGAAAUCCAGGAGUCUGAAGGAGAGUGUCGAGUUCGAUGUCCUGCCGGCCUAUGAUGCACUAGGUCAACUGCAUUCUGGCUGCAACUCCAGACCUAAAGCCUACAAGGAGCUCAUUGAGUUGUAUAGAUCAUCGGACAUCUCCGGAGGAGAGUUUUCGACCUGCUUUACAGAGCUACAGCGCAACUUCAUUGAACCCCGGCCCCCCAAACUGAAGAAUCUGAUUCGCCUGGUGAAGCACUGGUACAAACAGUGUGAAAGGAAAAUGAAACAUCUCUACUCUCCCCAUCCGUGUGGAAGCCAAAUGAAGUCAAAAGUAUCUUUGCCCCCAAAGUACGCCCUGGAGCUUCUCAGUGUGUAUGCCUGGGAGCAGGGCAGUGGUAUGGAGGACUUCAACACUGCCGAAGGCUUCCGGACGGCCCUGGACCUGGUCAUCAAAUACCAGCAGCUCUGCAUCUUCUGGACAGUCAACUAUAACUUCAAAGAUGAGCCGAUGAGGUCGUUCCUACUGACCCAGAUCCAGAAAAAGAGGCCUGUGGUCCUGGAUCCAGCCGAUCCCACAGGCGAUGUGGGAGGCGGUGACCGCUGGUGUUGGCAUCUUCUAGCUGAAGAGGCGAAGAAGUGGCUAUCCUCCCCCUGUUUUGACUCGGAACUGGGACAAAGUGUACAGCCAUGGAAAGUGCCAGUAAGAGUGCCCUGAAGAAAGUGGGUGGCCGCCACAAAUCCAAUCAAAGGGCUUUCUUGCUGUAGUGAUUUGGAAUUACUGAGCACCCCAAAGAAUUGAAAACUGGACUCCAGGGGUUCAGCCAGUCAUCUCCCCUGCUCCAGGUAGUGCAGACCCCAGGAAGCUGUGGAGCUCAGAUCUACCCCACUGUGGGUGAGGGCAGACCAGUUGGAAUCCAGCUCUGGAAUGAAAUUGCUGGAAGAAGCUUCUAGAGUUGUCUGACAAUUGAUUUAAAGACUCAGUCUAUGUUACAAAAGGGAGCUGGUAUCAAUCCUCCCCGGCUGCAGUGCUCCCCGGCUGCAGUGCUCCCCGGCUGCAGUGCUCCCCGGCGGGUCCUACUUCUCUCUCCUGCUCUUCCAGAUGACUCUGCUUGAAAUCAAGACUUCAGAUCUGCUCCCCCGCCCCCACCCUGGGGUCUCACAUUAUGGACACCCCUCUGUGCGACUGACCUUCAGAGACACGCGCCCCCAAGCAGCAUGCCGUGUCCCGGUUCUGUGUGUUUUCUCCGUCUCCUUCUCUACACAUCUCUCUUCAGCUGCGGACUCAACCCUGUGUCACCGAAGUUCAGCCCCUCCCUUGCCCUUCCUUCCCACCAGCCCCAGCUAGCUCUGAGUGCUUGGCUGACUCUUUGCCCCUCUCUUCCCUCCAUCCACAGGCCUUUCCUGUGGUUGUUCAUUUUCAUGCUUGAUAAUAAACAGUGGCCUUGAGCACA
This is an RNA transcript of Mesocricetus auratus (golden hamster), 2993 nucleotides long. It is a transcript of the gene named 2'-5'-oligoadenylate synthetase 2, with no coding region annotated. The record is from RefSeq and is a predicted model, not a curated record. The transcript is spliced from 11 exons. NCBI's taxonomy places the organism in Eukaryota, Metazoa, Chordata, Mammalia, Rodentia, Cricetidae.